Molecule: non-coding RNA, 99 nt
Organism: Guyanagaster necrorhizus
Lineage: Eukaryota; Fungi; Basidiomycota; Agaricomycetes; Agaricales; Physalacriaceae
Source: the annotation of a RefSeq genome assembly
GGCCGCCUGGUGAAAUGGCAUCGCGUCUGACUACGAUAUGUCUUUAGGAUUAUAUGUGAUCGAAUCAGGAGAUUGCAGGUUCGACCCCUGCGGUGGUCA